This 226-nucleotide long non-coding RNA is filed under the name Elaeis guineensis (African oil palm). Its description in RNAcentral is "long non-coding RNA (EGUI_LNC012834)". Lineage: Eukaryota; Viridiplantae; Streptophyta; Magnoliopsida; Arecales; Arecaceae. The record is from RNAcentral.
GCCGGAGAGUUCGGACCGGACGGCUGAAGCUCGGUUGGGACGUCUGGUGGAGCGGAAUAGCUCUCUGUCUCAGCAAUCUAGGAGAAGCUCUGAUAUUUUUGAGGUUGCUGACGGGUUAACUGUUGUUGGGUGCCUUAGGCGUUGAUGCUGUAGACGGAAGUCAUCUGCUGUAGAAGUCCGGAUGGAAACUUUCUGUUGGAAAAAUUCGACUGGAGUCUGAUUGCUA